GACGAACGCUGGCGGCGUGCCUAAUACAUGCAAGUAGAACGCUGAAGGAGGAGCUUGCUUCUCUGGAUGAGUUGCGAACGGGUGAGUAACGCGUAGGUAACCUGCCUGGUAGCGGGGGAUAACUAUUGGAAACGAUAGCUAAUACCGCAUAAUAGUAGAUGUUGCAUGACAUUUGCUUAAAAGGUGCAAUUGCAUCACUACCAGAUGGCCCUGCGUUGUAUUAGCUAGUUGGUGAGGUAACGGCUCACCAAGGCGACGAAACAUAGCCGACCUGAGAGGGGGCACGGCCACACUGGGACGGGGAAACGGCCCAGACCCCUAAGGGAGGCAGCAGUAGGGAAUCUUCGGCAAUGGACGGAAGUCUGACCGAGCAACGCCGCGUGAGUGAAGAAGGUUUUCGGAUCGUAAAGCUCUGUUGUAAGAGAAGAACGAGUGUGAGAGUGGAAAGUUCACACUGUGACGGUAGCUUACCAGAAAGGGACGGCUAACUACGUG
RNAcentral lists this ribosomal RNA (495 nucleotides) under uncultured bacterium. RNAcentral's name for it is "partial 16S ribosomal RNA". It matches the Rfam family "Bacterial small subunit ribosomal RNA", at positions 28 to 507 of the family's 1533-position model. The record is from RNAcentral.